GUACAAGGCAUCAAACAACUAAAGGAAGCCGCAAACAGCACUGAAAGAAUUCAGCACCCAGUCUGCACCAAGCGUCACCCCUUCCACAGCUCUGCAGAGCAGUCCCCGUUCUGGUGCUUCUUCAUGUGGCGGCUGAAGACGAAAGGGGCUCUACGGGGAGCUUUGCCCACGACUGGCAGUAGAGCUCACACGUUCCUAUGCAAACAUGGACUCACUCUGAAGGAGCAUCCUUUCAAUCUUCUGGCUUACCUUGAUGGGGAAGCUUCUGCAAAGCAGGCCGAGAACUGCAGAGUGGGUGACUGAUUCACAGACAAAGUUACAGAACACACAUUCAAAGCCUGGAAACCAAACAGGAAAAGGCAUUCUUUAUGCUGUGGCCAGAUGGACUGCAUCAAAGGAGUGCUUCAGUUGGAAACAGUCAAGGAAAACAAAAGAAGAAUUUCAGCAGAACAUGGGAUGAAUACAAGCAAUCAGCGUGGGGAGCCUUCAAGGAAGUGACAAAGUCGCACGCCGUGCAGCAAAUGGAGAACAUCCACUGCUCCUUGUCCGCGUGGAGGGACAUGUGACUGACGAACUGGGCGUUCAGCUCCGUCUCAAACCCACACA
Molecule: long non-coding RNA, 606 nt
Organism: Dryobates pubescens (Downy woodpecker)
Lineage: Eukaryota; Metazoa; Chordata; Aves; Piciformes; Picidae
Exons: 6
Source: RefSeq, a predicted model, not a curated record